This 83-nucleotide small RNA is filed under the name Marmota monax (woodchuck). The record is from RNAcentral. Lineage: Eukaryota; Metazoa; Chordata; Mammalia; Rodentia; Sciuridae.
GCCAGGCGCAGAGGCGCUCACCUGUAAUCCCAGUGGCUCAGGAGGCUGAGGCAGGCGGAUCGAAAGUUCAAAGCCAGCCUCAG